This 301-nucleotide ribosomal RNA is filed under the name uncultured bacterium. Its description in RNAcentral is "partial 16S ribosomal RNA". It matches the Rfam family "Bacterial small subunit ribosomal RNA", at positions 509 to 807 of the family's 1533-position model. The record is from RNAcentral.
CAGCAGCCGCGGGAAUACAGAGGGUGCGAGCGUUAAUCGGAUUUACUGGGCGUAAAGCGUGCGUAGGCGGCUUCUUAAGUCGGAUGUGAAAUCCCUGAGCUUAACUUAGGAAUUGCAUUCGAUACUGGGAAGCUAGAGUAUGGGAGAGGAUGGUAGAAUUCCAGGUGUAGCGGUGAAAUGCGUAGAGAUCUGGAGGAAUACCGAUGGCGAAGGCAGCCAUCUGGCCUAAUACUGACGCUGAGGUACGAAAGCAUGGGGAGCAAACAGGAUUAGAGACCCGCGUAGUCCCUGUCUCUUAUAC